This 28-nucleotide non-coding RNA is filed under the name Mus musculus (house mouse). The record is from RNAcentral. Lineage: Eukaryota; Metazoa; Chordata; Mammalia; Rodentia; Muridae.
UCCACUGAGACUUAAAUGAUGAUGCAGG